AUGGGGAUGCAGGCUCUGAUGGAUGUUCGGUGCAAGAAUCUAGUGAACCCUGUAUGCGACUGGCUCGGUGAGAUUUAUGAUCCUGACUCCAGGGAAUUUGUGAUUCCGGGACGUGGAAGACUGCCUUUGGACGAGGAAUCCGUGUUCUGCACUUUGGGUGUGCCCCGUAGAGAAAUCAAAGUCCCGUAUGAGGUGAAUAACAAGAUCGAGGAAGCCUUGUUCGCCCGUUUGUUUCCUGGGAUGGCAUCAAUGCCGAACACGACUUUGCUGGCAAAUUCGCUGGAGGGCAUGAAAACCCAUGGUGAGGUUUUUAAGAUGAAGCUCCUCAUGUAUCUGAUCUUAGCUGUUUUUGCGCCUACCACAUCUCUUCGCUCAAGCAAUAAGUGCUUCCCCAUCCUGGCGAAGCUGAAAGACGUGAAGAACAUGAAUUGGUGUAAAUUCAUCGCGGACUUCCUGCAUGAUGCAUUCUCAAACAAGAUGUACCAGAAGGGCUAUCGCCUGCACUUAAUGCUCAUGUACAUUGAUCGUCUUGAUCUGUCCACCGUCGACUUUACUGGUAUAGGAGGCCCGCCGCCUCCACAUAAGUUUGUUGUUUCUGCGUGGACGUACGAUGCUGUCAAGGUUGUGCUUGCCGCAGACAGGAUAACUGAUACGAAAUAUGGGAAACUGCAGCUGAUGGCCAAGCAUGCUAUAGACUACAACGUGUUUGGUGCGCCUCAAAAAUUUGGCAAGUGGAUGGAUGUGCAUUCAGCUCCAUCUUGUCCUGCUGAGGCGAGGGCACCUGUUGAGCAUCUAGUUGGGCAGUUUGCUUCCGGCAUGACCAGCUUGCUCGGGAAGUUGGUUGAGGGUUGGACGACACUCAAUGGCUCUGACAGCGACGCGGUUGCGAGGCAGUUCACACCAUUUGUUGGAGAACGGAUAGAUCGGCCAACUGGUUGCCGUGGCCGGUACGACUACAACAGCUCCCAGGAGAUCCCUGACACGCAAGAUGAACUAGAUGGGGAUGCUGGUCUUGACAAGGACGAUGAUGACGACAUGGAGAACGUGCAACAUGAAACCGACGACGAUGAACAUGUUGAAGUUCGUGCAGGUGGUAAGAAGGACAAGGCUGCACCAGAUGUCCCCCCACAGGAGAAAGUCAUUGAACAGACAUUUGCGAGAGACAAGGGGGUGUCGCCCUCAAAGAGGGGCAGGGCUCCAGAGGAUGUUGGGCAGGGCUCUGUUGGCAAGAGGGUGAAGAAGACUACUACACGCGUGACCAAGCAGAACACUAGAGACCCACUCGAACGCAUUCAUUCAAAGCUGUCAACAGGUGGCAACUCAGAUGUUCAUGAGGCGCCAGUCGACAAAACUGCUGCUGCAUCGUCCACUGUUCCCACUAGCUCUGAUGCAAGCGGCCGACCAUCUCCGCCGGUUGCAGAUGUGCAGGCUACAACAAUAGGCAUCCGUACAUCUGGGAGUGAUGAGUCAGUAUCUGCCACGACUGCUGAGAUAUUGCCUACUCUGCAGGCAAUGAAGGAUGCUGCUGUGACCCAUGCCACCGGAUCAGCAAGUGUUGAAGUGGACGCUCCCGAUAUCAACCUAAGCAAGGAAGAUUCCCGCUCAUCUGAUACGGAUUCCAAGCGUGUGGUUGGUGGCACUUCUGCAUCCACAAAAGAAGGGGCUGCGGCGACAAUUCAUAAUGAGAUGCCAUCCACAGGUGAGACUCUGGGCACAACAGCUCCAGCUUCUGGUGGUCCAGAGGUUGCUACGGCAACCGUUACGCGAGCUGGUCUUCCACCUAGGCGGCAUAGCCCCCGCAAGCAAUCUGCAGACAUACCCAACGCACCAGCUGUAGCUAGGAGCAGCAGAGAUGACUCUGUUUAUGUGCCUGCGUCCACACUGUUCCCACCACCUGCCAAAAGCAAUGUUAUGGAGAAAACGACGGUCCGGAGCGCAACUGAUGCAGGUGGCAAGCCGGGCACGACUGACGGAGGUGAACGUCCGGAGCAGACUGCGUCUUUACCCUUCGUGGAGAACCCCAGCUUAAAUCUGCGCACUUCUAAGCUCCUAGUCAACAUUGGUGUCCCAUACAGCCCAAACACGAAGAUUGGCAAGAAAGUUGCGGUUGAUACCGUUGGCAGCACGCCCCGCCCUACUAAUAAGCCUGAUGAUACUACAGAAGAUGAGGCAGAAAUGUUUGUUGAUCUGUCACCCCUGGAUUCUGCGAAGCAACUUCCUCGCGAUCCGGCUGGUAGGGAGGAGAGGCACCCAAUGGCCUUCACCCCACCGAAUUGUAGCCUUGGCAUCGAUCGCAGUCAAGAUGAACCAGUGGUGCAAGAUCCUAUGCCAGUUGCCUUUGCUUUCCCGGCAGGCAUGGCCCCAAUGAUGGCGCAUCCAAUGGCUGGUGGGAGGAAGGCUGUGAAGUUUGCAGAGCCGAUAGUGCAAGCCACCACUGAGGAGAUUACGUCGUCACUUAAUGAAGCUUACCGCAGGAUUGAGGAGGCAGCAUUACAGAGGAGGUCCUCACGAGGUCAGGGGCAAUCAAGUUCUAACGUGCCUGCUGAGUCGGUAUCCGAGGAUACCGUUAGAAGUGCCACCCCUGGUUCUGUGAGGCAGCAUAGGGUAGUUCACGCACCACCCGCGGAUGACUAUGAGCCCGAAGUCAAGGCCACAAAGGAGCAGAACCAGUUGUACGGUAUUGUCAAGUGUUUUGGAAAUGCGAGGUCCAACAGCAAGCACAUGAAGGAGCUGAAAGCCUCGUGUUUGGACAGAACCAAGAUCAUACAAUGUGAUGCGACGUACGUUGACCUGGGUGAUCUUGCCGAGUCUUACAGUGUGACCUGCAAAAUAUGGGAUGGUGACUUCCACCAUAAAAUCCUGAGGAAGCAUUUUGCUGCGCAUGGUGAAUUCAAGCUCACAAUGAAGAAAUGUGUAUUGUUCCUCAUGUUGCAGGAGCUUGCACCACACGACACACAUGACAAGUGUGGUCACCACUACGCGAUUUGCCUUGACCUGAAGAACCAACGAUUUGAGGUGCUAGAUUCAAUGCGUUCAGAAGCUGAUGCAGACCUUACUACGCAUGCUAAAUUCUUCAUCAACAACCUCAAAGAGACAUGGAACCGUCACUAUGAAAACUCAAGGGUCCAGAUCGGUCAUUUCCCAAUCGAGUACGUCGCGACUACGAAGCAAGGAAACCGGUAA
RNAcentral lists this ribosomal RNA (3183 nucleotides) under Triticum aestivum (bread wheat). Its description in RNAcentral is "partial small subunit ribosomal RNA". The record is from RNAcentral. Lineage: Eukaryota; Viridiplantae; Streptophyta; Magnoliopsida; Poales; Poaceae.